GGCAGUUCUCGGGUGACGCACCCCAGAAUCAAGCUCCCUCCUCUCUAGUUCUGGGUGCAUCACUGGAGAACCACU
Non-coding RNA from Myotis davidii, 75 nucleotides. NCBI's taxonomy places the organism in Eukaryota, Metazoa, Chordata, Mammalia, Chiroptera, Vespertilionidae. The record is from Rfam.